Molecule: long non-coding RNA, 99 nt
Organism: Tyto alba (common barn owl)
Lineage: Eukaryota; Metazoa; Chordata; Aves; Strigiformes; Tytonidae
Exons: 3
Source: RefSeq, a predicted model, not a curated record
CCCCCCUAUAUCCUGUGGUGAGAUGGCAGGGUGACCCCACCCGCCACCCGUGAAGAUCCACGGUGGAGCAAACAUUGAUUUACAGCAUUUUGUUCCUGC